RNAcentral lists this ribosomal RNA (488 nucleotides) under uncultured bacterium. RNAcentral's name for it is "partial 16S ribosomal RNA". It matches the Rfam family "Bacterial small subunit ribosomal RNA", at positions 28 to 523 of the family's 1533-position model. The record is from RNAcentral.
GACGAACGCUGGCGGCGUGCCUAACACAUGCAAGUCGAGCGGAGUUAAUUGAAAGCUUGCUUUUGAUUAACUUAGCGGCGGACGGGUGAGUAACGCGUGGGCAACCUGCCUGUUACAGGGGGAGAACGCAGGGAAACUUGUGCUAAUACCGCAUCAUACAACGAGAAAGCAUUUUCUUGUUGUCAAUGGAGCAAUCCGGUGACAGAUGGGCCCGCGUCCAAUUAGCUAGUUGGUGGUGUAACGGACCACCAAGGCGACGAUUGGUAGCCGAACUGAGAGGUUGAUCGGCCACAUUGGGACUGAGACACGGCCCAGACUCCUACGGGAGGCAGCAGUGGGGAAUAUUGCACAAUGGGGGAAACCCUGAUGCAGCAACGCCGCGUGAAGGAUGAAGGUUUUCGGAUUGUAAACUUCUUUAGUCAGGGACGAAUAAAUGACGGUACCUGAAGAAUAAGCCACGGCUAACUACGUGCCAGCAGCCGCCGUAA